This 372-nucleotide ribosomal RNA is filed under the name Mandarella sp. (Stenoluperus) BMNH 831453. RNAcentral's name for it is "partial 28S ribosomal RNA". The record is from RNAcentral. Lineage: Eukaryota; Metazoa; Arthropoda; Insecta; Coleoptera; Chrysomelidae.
UCGGUUGUCGUAGUUGAACGAUCGGGCGACGGACGGCGAGACUCGUUCGCCGCUGCGCCUUUCGUUUUACGAGACGAUGUCGAACGCGUGCACUUUUCCCCUAGUAGGACGUCGCGAUCCGUUGGGUGUUUGUUUAAAAAUCGAAGUGGUGCCCGCGAGACAUUUCGGUCACGCGGACCUUCGGAAUUUCGACAAACUCGCUCGACGGUAUAUCGAAGGCGCGAGGCCGCUAAGAUCGUUUGCGUUUUCGCGCGAGCGAUCGAAUUAGCGUUCGGCCCGUAACAAGGACGUGCCGUAAUUGACGGAUGUCGGACCUGGUGCCGAUUUCGUCGCGGAGCGACUGUUGGUUACGGUGUUCUCGAACUGACCUCG